GGAAGUUAACAACGAUGAUGAGAGGUUAUAAUUCUUGGCUGAUAUAUCCAGACUAUAUUUGCAAACACUAUCGGUGUUUGAUUUAUUUUGAAAUUGGUCAAAUUUUUCUUCCUUUUGUUAAUGGUUUAUAAUGAAUGCUUCAGUAUGUAUUUGUAUAUUGUACUGCUUUCUCCCAUGUUCUUAGUUAUGUGUACUUAAUUCUGUUUUCUUAUUUAAGUAUAACAAGAAUAUCAAUCCUAACCCUACUGCUCUAUGUAGGCUGCAGAAAAACCUUAACGUGUGUUGCUAAAUGAGCAUAGCUGUUUGUGUGCAGAACAGAUAUCAGUUUACAUUAUCCCACAAUAGGAUUGGUCAAAGUGUUGAUUAGUUGUAAUUACAGGAACAAUACUUUUAUAGUGUAUAUGGUUACUUAUUCGUUAUUUAUAUAUCUUUAAACUAGUAGGAAUGCUACAACUUUAAUUACCCCCUUUUAAUUAUCAUUUGGAUUAUCUAUAGCUGAGAAGAGCUACUUUUAGGAUUUAUUGUUUAAAGUUUAUAUCCAAAUUUUGUCAGCCUGGAAGGUAUUAAUAAUCUGUUCCCCAUUGAUGGCAGUGCUACUCAUGUUCUUUAGCCUGUUGUAAUGAUUUUACUCUUUUAACAUGUUGGCAUGACAAGCCCCCAUUAUUUUAUUUUGCUUUAGUGGUGAUGAUGAUGAUGAUGAC
RNAcentral lists this unclassified non-coding RNA (701 nucleotides) under Hevea brasiliensis (rubber tree). Lineage: Eukaryota; Viridiplantae; Streptophyta; Magnoliopsida; Malpighiales; Euphorbiaceae. The record is from RNAcentral.